ACGCUCGACACCUACAGGAGGCAGCAGUGGGGAAUAUUGCACAAUGGGGGAAACCCUGAUGCAGCAACGCCGCGUGAAGGAAGACGGUUUUCGGAUUGUAAACUUCUGUUCUUAGUGAAGAUAGUGACGGUAGCUAAGGAGCAGGCCACGGCUAACUACGUGCCAGCAGCCGCGGUAAUCUGAGCGGGCUGGCAAGGC
This 198-nucleotide ribosomal RNA is filed under the name uncultured bacterium. RNAcentral's name for it is "partial 16S ribosomal RNA". It matches the Rfam family "Bacterial small subunit ribosomal RNA", at positions 328 to 539 of the family's 1533-position model. The record is from RNAcentral.